This 253-nucleotide ribosomal RNA is filed under the name uncultured bacterium. RNAcentral describes it as "partial 16S ribosomal RNA". It matches the Rfam family "Bacterial small subunit ribosomal RNA", at positions 524 to 776 of the family's 1533-position model. The record is from RNAcentral.
UACGGAGGGGGCGAGCGUUAUUCGGAAUUAUUGGGCGUAAAGGGCGCGUAGGCGGCCAACUAAGUCGGAUGUGAAAUCCCCAGGCUUAACCUGGGAACUGCAUCCGAUACUGGAUGGCUUGAAUCCGGGAGAGGGAUGCAGAAUUCCAGGUGUAGCGGUGAAAUGCGUAGAUAUCUGGAGGAAUACCGGUGGCGAAGGCGGCAUCCUGGACCGGCAUUGACGCUGAUGAGCGAAAGCUAGGGGAGCAAACGGG